AUCUUCACCUGUAAUUGAACUGUCAUUUAAUUAUUUACAUCGAAUGAUGAAACAAAAUCGCCAGUUUAGCUAUAGUCACCUGAAUAUAUAUGUGGGGUUUCCGGUCACUAAAAGUUUCCGGAACGAAUAAGAAAAAAUACUAUUAAAAGUUCUAACCUGAUGUGUCAAUAUAAUAGACUUAGUAAUAUAGCUGUACCAACAUUGAACAUGCCAGUGUCUCAAAAUGAAGGAACCCCGAAAAUUUUUGUCAGCAAGUGAAAACGCACCUUUUCGAUGCCUACUGAACAAACUUUAUACAAAAGUUAGUCUAAUUGGCCAAUAAGCAAUUAUAUGCAACAAACGGGAAUGUGACGAUUAUGACGAUAAGUUUAAAGUUAAGGUAAAAAAGUAUUUCCACAAAUGUUAUAAACGAGAAAAUAAAUAAUUAAAAUCAACUAUUCA
This 441-nucleotide unclassified non-coding RNA is filed under the name Melitaea cinxia (Glanville fritillary). Its description in RNAcentral is "misc RNA ENSMCXG00005001080.1". The record is from RNAcentral. Lineage: Eukaryota; Metazoa; Arthropoda; Insecta; Lepidoptera; Nymphalidae.